GACAGAGGUGCCGAGCGUUAGGCGGAAUCACUGGGCUUAAAGCGUGUGUAGGCGGAUCUGUAAGUACCUUGUGAAAUCCCACGGCUCAACCGUGGAACUGCUUGGCAUACUGCGGGUCUUGAGCCACCUAGGGGCAAGUGGAACAAACGGUGGAGCGGUGAAAUGCGUAGAUAUCGUUUGGAACGCCAAUGGUGAAAACAACUUGCUGGGGGUGUGCUGACGCUGAGACACGAAAGCCAGGGGAGCAAACGGG
Molecule: ribosomal RNA, 253 nt
Filed under: uncultured bacterium
Lineage: Bacteria
Description: partial 16S ribosomal RNA
Rfam family: Bacterial small subunit ribosomal RNA
Source: RNAcentral